RNAcentral lists this ribosomal RNA (253 nucleotides) under uncultured bacterium. Its description in RNAcentral is "partial 16S ribosomal RNA". It matches the Rfam family "Bacterial small subunit ribosomal RNA", at positions 524 to 776 of the family's 1533-position model. The record is from RNAcentral.
UACGAAGGGGGCUAGCGUUGUUCGGAAUCACUGGGCGUAAAGCGCAUGCAGGCGGAUCGAUAAGUCGGGGGUGAAAGCCCGAGGCUCAACCUCGGAACUGCCUUCGAUACUGUCGAUCUUGAGUCCGGGAGAGGUGAGUGGAACUCCGAGUGUAGAGGUGAAAUUCGUAGAUAUUCGCAAGAACACCAGUGGCGAAGGCGGCUCACUGGCCCGAUACUGACGCUGAGGCACGAAAGCGUGGGGAGCAAACAGG